AAUUUAUAAAAUAAAUUAUUUAAAGAGCUUGUAAAGAAUCCCUUGGUAUCCAGAAGCGAAGAAGGACGUGGUUACCGGCGAAACAGAUCGGGGAGUUGGUCUCAAAUAUUGAUCCGAAAAUAUCCGAAUAACUUUAUACAGAAUCUAUAAGUAAAUAAAGAGCAAACUUAGGGAACUGAAACAUCUUAAUACCUAAAGGAAAAGAAAGUAAAAACGAUUUUCAAAAUAGCGGCGAGCGAAAUGAAAACAGCCUAAACAUUUACAUUAAAUGAGUUGAGGGAUAUAUUGUUAUAUAUAUAUAAAUAUAAAUUAGAUUAACUAAUUGGAAAAUUAUACUAUAAGGAGUAAUAGUCUCAUAAUCAACAAUUUAUUUUUAAAUAUUAUAAUCCCAAGUAGCUUGGGACACGUGGAAUCCCUUGUGAAUCUACGAGGACCAACUCGUAAGGCUAAAUAUUACUGGAUGUCCGAUAGUGAAUAGUACCGUGAGGAAAAGGUGAAAAGAACCCUGUGAAAGGGAGUGAAAUAGAACGUGAAAUUGCAAGCUUACAAACAGAAGGAGAACGACUGAGUGUUUAACUUCGUGCCUGUUGAAGAAUGUUCCGACGACUUAUAGAUAGUGGCUGAUUAAGAUAGCGAUAUCAUAGUCAUAGUGAAAGCGAGCUUGAAGAAAGCGUUAGUCACUAUUUAUAGACCCGAACCCGCUUGAUCUAACCAUGACCAGGAUGAAAUUUUAUUAUAUUUUAAUGGAGGUCCGAACCGACUAAUGUUGAAAAAUUAGCGGAUGAGUUGUGGUUAGUGGUGAAAUGCCAAUCGAAAGCGGAGCUAGCUGGUUCUCCAUGAAAUGUAUUUAGGUGCAGCGUUUAGUGUUAUAAUAUAGGGGUAAAGCACUGUUUUGUUAUAGGGGCUAAUUCUAUUGGUACUAAAGCGAGGCAAACUCUGAAUACUAUAUGUAUAACUAAACAGUAAGACUAUGAGGGAUAAGCUUCAUAGUCAAGAGGGAAACAGCCCAGAUCACCAGAUAAGGCCCCAAAAUAAUUACUAAGUGAUAAAGGUAGUGGAAAGGCUUAAACAAUCAGGAGGUUUGCUUAGAAGCAGCAAUCCUUUAAAAAGUGCGUAAUAGCUUACUGAUUUAGCCAUUCUGCGCCGAAAAUUUAUGGGACUAAGUAAUUUGCCGAAGCUGUGAGAUAUAGUAAUAUUAUAUCGGUAAUGGAGCGUUCCAUAUUAGAUUGAAGUAUUAACGAAAGUGAAUAUUGACGAAAUGGAAGUGAGAAUGUCGGAUUGAGUAGCGAAAACAUUGGUGAGAAUCCAAUGCUCCGAAACCCCAAGGUUUCCUCUGGAAGGUUCGUCCACAGAGGGUUAGUCAGGGCCUAAGAUGAGGCUGAAAAGUAUAAUCGAUGGAUAAUAGGUUAAUAUUCCUAUACUAAUUAUUACUAGUAUCGAGGGACGAAGAAGGCUAAACUGGCCUCUAUUAUGGUUAAAGGUUUAAGUAUUCAAAGCAUAGAGAAUUGGAGAAAACAAUUUAAGCUAAGAUAUAAAUACAAAACUAAAAAAGUUAAAGUAGUUAAUGUCAUGCUUCCAAGAAAAACUCGCAAUGCUAUAAGUAAUAAUGACCUGUACCUUAAACCGACACAGGUGGGGCGGUAGAGAAUACCAAGGAGCGCGAGAUAACCCUCUUUAAGGAACUCGGCAAAAUAACUCUGUAACUUCGGAAGAAAGAGUGCCUUUUUUAUGGCUGCAAUAUCAAGUUCCAAGCAACUGUUUAUCAAAAACACAGGUCUCCGCUAAGUUGUAAAACGACGUAUGGGGGCUGACGCCUGCCCAAUGUCAAAAGGUUAAUAAUUCUGGUUAGUAUUUAGUCAAAUAAUGGCAAAGCUAGAAUAGUAAGCCCUGAUGAAUGGCGGCCGUAAAUAUAACGGUCCUAAGGUAGCGAAAUUCCUUGUCGGGUAAGUUCCGACCCGCACGAAUGGCGUAAUGAUUUGGAAGCUGUCUCGAAGAGGGAUUCGGCGAAAUAGAAAUGUCUGUGAAGAUGCGGACUUCCUGCGCCUGGACAGUAAGACCCUAUGAAGCUUUACUGGAUUAUGAAAUUGUAUAUUAAUUUUAUUUGCAGAGAAUAAGUGGGAGAUUAAGAAGAUAUGUUUUUGGAUAUAUUGGAGUCAUCAGUGUAAUACCACUCAAAUAAAAUUGGUAUACUACACUUUAUAACGUAAGCAGUUUAAAGGACAGUUUAAUAAGGACAGUUUGACUGGGGCGGUCGCCUCCUAAAAAGUAACGGAGGCGUACAAAGGUUUUUUCAGAUCAGAUGGAAAUUGAUUGGUGAGUGUAAAGGCAAAAAAAAACUUAACUGUAAGACCUACAAGUCAAACAGAGAUGAAAGUCGGUCUUAGUGAUCUGACGUUACUGUGUGGAAGGGACGUUACUUAACGGAUAAAAGUUACUCUAGGGAUAACAGGCUUAUCUCUCCUGAUAGACCAUAUUGGCGGGGAGGUUUGGCACCUCGAUGUCGGCUCAUCGCAUCCUGGAGAAGUAGGCGAUUCCAAGGGUUAGGCUGUUCGCCUAUCAAAGCGGUACGUGAGCUGGGUUCAGAACGUCGUAAGACAGUUCGGUCCAUAUCCGGCGUGGGCGUUAGAAUAUUGAGAGUGACUUUUCUUUAGUACGAGAGGAUCGAGAAAAAUAUACCUCUUGUGUACCAGUUAUCGUACCAACGGUAAACGCUGGGUAGCUAUGUAUAGUUAGGAUAAUCACUGAAAGCAUAUAAGUGAGAAGCCGUCCUCAAGAUAAAUAUUUUUAGGUUAUUGACAAGACGAGUCGAAUUAUAUUGGAUAUUCGGUAUAAGUGUAGUGAUAGAUUUAGCCAAGAUAUACCAAAUAACUAUAAGAUUUAUUUUA
Molecule: ribosomal RNA, 2885 nt
Filed under: Spumella sp. NIES-1846
Lineage: Eukaryota; Chrysophyceae; Chromulinales; Chromulinaceae
Description: 23S rRNA
Rfam family: Bacterial large subunit ribosomal RNA
Source: RNAcentral